UGCAAGUCGUGCGAGAAAGUAUCUUCGGAUAUGAGUAGAGCGGCGGACGGGUGAGUACGCGUAGGAAUCUACCUAAUAGAAGGGGAUAGCCCGGGGAAACCCGGAUUAAUACCGUAUACCUCCUUCGGGAGAAAGAAGGCCUCUCUUUGAAGCUUUCGCUAUUAGAUGAGCCUGCGUAAGAUUAGCUUGUUGGUGAGGUAAAGGCUCACCAAGGCUACGAUCUUUAGCUGGUCUGAGAGGACGAUCAGCCACAUUGGGACUGAGACACGGCCCAGACUCCUACGGGAGGCAGCAGUGGGGAAUAUUGGACAAUGGGCGCAAGCCUGAUCCAGCCAUACCGCGUGUGUGAAGAAGGCCUUCGGGUUGUAAAGCACUUUAAGCAGGGAGAAAAAGUUAUAAGUUAAUAACCUUAUAACCCUGAUGUUACCUGCAGAAUAAGCACCGGCUAAUUCCGUGCCAGCAGACGCGGGUAAUUACGGAAUGUGCAAGCGUUUACUCGGAAUUCCUGGGCGUAAAGCGCGCGUAGGUGGUUGGUAAGUUGGAUGUGAAAGCCCUGGGCUCAAACUAAGAACUUGGAUCCAAAACUAACUCACUAGAGUCGACAGAGGAAGGAGAAUCAAGCGUAGCGCGGAAUGCGAGAAUUUCGAAGAAUACCGUGG
This 659-nucleotide ribosomal RNA is filed under the name uncultured Gammaproteobacteria bacterium. RNAcentral's name for it is "bacterial SSU rRNA". It matches the Rfam family "Bacterial small subunit ribosomal RNA", at positions 56 to 714 of the family's 1533-position model. The record is from RNAcentral. Lineage: Bacteria; Pseudomonadati; Pseudomonadota; Gammaproteobacteria.